This 3681-nucleotide long non-coding RNA is filed under the name Marmota monax (woodchuck). The record is from RNAcentral. Lineage: Eukaryota; Metazoa; Chordata; Mammalia; Rodentia; Sciuridae.
GUGGUAGAGUGAUACUGACUACCAGCACCUAAGCCAAGCCAGCAGCUGCUCCUAUGGUGUGAGGUAAGAGUCUGAUGAGAUUUCACUAGCAUUUCUCUCUUACUGGGGACCACCUUUGGCUGGAAUCUCCAUUCAUUUCAGUUGCCAGUGGAUCAAUAUUCAGAGAUGAACUUUAUUGUCCCAGAGGACCCUUGGAAAAGGACUGGGAAGGGGCUAUUGCCCUCUCCUAUUGACUCAUCUGCCCAGGUUUGGACCCUAACCAUGUUGACUGAUCACCAGGGAAGGCCUGGGCAUAUCAGCCCCUCAAAGAGGAGAAAUAUCCCUGAGGAGUUGGAGUGACAUGGGGUUGGGGGGUGGGGUUGUCUAUGCGUGUUUAAAGCCUUAGGGAAGAGUAUGAAGCAACUGGACAAGGGAAAGUUCAGGUUCAGGUUCAGAGCAGAAACCCAUCCCUAAAACUGCAAAUUUACUCCCCCCCGCACCCCAGUGCCUCCUAAUAAAUUCUGAAGUGCCAAAUAAACGUCUUUCCUGACUUUAAGUCCCUGAUGGAUCAGAGGCCCUAGGAUCAAGAGACCAAGAGUCAGAGCCCUAGCUUCUCUUAUUCUAAAUAUUUAUGAUCCCCAAGGCAAGAUUUUGAGAGUAAGAUUCAAAUAUUCUAUUAUCUUAAACCAUUCUCCGAUUAUAAGAUAUUAAAAUUCUAAGAUUUGAGAUCUAUGGUUUAAAAAGUGAAGUUUUACAACUUAGACAAGAUGAUCACAAGGGCAAAGAAGUAAAAAUCUAAAAUUCUGUGAGUUUAGAGAGCUUAGAUUCGUAGAGUCUAAAAUACUAAAACCUUCAGAAUCUAAGUUUUUCAAUGGCUCCAAAUUCUUAAAAGUUGAAGUCUAACAGUAAAAAAUGAGAUCUACAGUUUUAUGACUUUAUACCUAAUCACUGGUGGCACUUGAACAAAUAAAUCCAUUUUCCAGCCCAUCUACCAAGAAGUGAUUUACACCUUCCAAGAUAGUGCUCAGAAGCGAACCUAAGUGAAGGUCAUGCUGUUCAUUCCCAGCAAGCCAGUUCCUCAUAAGGCCUGACCAUUUAUGAUGGCAGACCUCUUCUCCACCUUCCUACCUUCUCUGAAGUGCUGGAGUGGACCCGUGUUGCUUUUCUGUGUGCCUAGGAUCUCUUCUUUUUAGGAAAAUCCCUGCCCCACUCAUGUGUCUGUAGUGAGGCUAUUGACCACACAGGUGGGCACGUGACUCAGUAUGAUGAGAAAAUCACCACAUCCUGAACACAGUGAAUCUUCUACAAAUGAGCCCAGGGACUUGUCAAGAAUGAUGUAUAUAAUGGGAAAGACAAUGUUGAGGACUUCCGUCACCUGGGAUGAUGAGCUAUAAAGACAGUAUCAGCGCUGUGAGUCAAGAUUUGUUACUGGCCAACUCAGGUGGAAAGAGCCAGGGCUGACUCACCUUCAGGCACAGUAGGUACAGUGCCUAGAGUACACCAUAUUUUUAGGACUCAGAUCAGCAAUUUCAGAAGUCAAACCAUUUCCUUAGAAUUCCCAGGUAAGUGAACAAGUAAAUUCCUUACACAACUUGGAAACAGACAUACCAUUUAUGUUGGCUUCCCAGAACCUUGCUAGGUUUGAGGAGCCUUUCCUUGUUUCCCAGUCUCCCUUGCAAGUAGAGCCCCGGCAUGUGGCCUAGCUUCUCCGGUCCCAAAGAGAUUCUGUAAGCCACUGAUAUCCUUUAGGAAAAUAAUUUGAUAAUUAAGCCAGACAGAGUGGUUUUCUGUUAUUUGCAGGUAAGACUCUGACAGGUACAGCUAGUUAGAGCUAGGCUUGUCUCUCUGGCAAUCAAGUGUUUUUGAUAAAACACAGAGGAGCCCUCUUCUGCAUCUGUACCUUCCUCCAGGUCCAGAACAAGUCUAUGCUCUUUUAGUAGCAACAGCUCAGCUCUUUUAUCCCUGGAGAGAAAGGACAGGUCAGGCUGAGCACUUAUUCAGGGCAGGAGUACAGAGACCAGGAUAACCACAGAGCAUAGCAUGAAAGGUCAGUGUGAUUCCAAGACUCCCCAGUGCCUUUGUCUUUUCUCUCCUGACUCUAGCACCUUUUUUAUCUGGAACCUUUCCUCUGAUAUCAUCUUUAGAAGGUAGGGUGCAAAGAAAAUUAUUUUGUUUGCUCCAUUCUCCUCCCACAAGCAUCACAGUCAUUCUCCUGUAAGAAGAUGUAAGAGAAGUACCUUCAGGACUGCCUGAAUUGAUGGACUUGGGGAAAAAAUCAGGACCUGCUGUAAGGACAAGCUGCUGAUGGAGAAGAAGAAAAUCCCAGGAAAAGGAAAUGCAGCCCAACAGGAAUCCAGAAGGACAAGGGAAGGGCCUCAAGAGAUCCAAACUUACAAUUUAGUCUAAGUACCUAUAUCUACCCCAUGGUCACACAGCCAGCACCAUCAUCUCAUUCACAGCCACCAUCUUAGCCAUUGUCCCCAAAGCAUCUUGCACACCUUCAACCUGAUCUCAGCAUCCUGAAGAUACUAACAGUCUCCUUUUCUCUUCCACUGGUGGUCUUGUAUCCCUGCUACAGUACAGCUCUGACGCUAUAUGUCUCUAUCAACUCCCUUCUUUGAUUAGGGGCCUUACUUCCUCUUAGACUACUUGCUUCUCUCAGAUUUGCUUUUUCUUCUAACUAUGCCUGUGUCCUCUUGUCAUCCCUCAAGUCCUGGAAAUGGAGACCAAGUAUGAUUCAUCUGCAUCCUUAGAGCUCAGUACAAAGUCUGACAGAACAAGGGCUAAAUCUUGUGACUAAGUUGCAUCCUAGACAGUAGGUUAUCAGUAGAUGCCGAUUGAUUGGUUUUCAACUCUGUCAUUUAAUAAAGAUGUUUCUUGGAUUAGUUUACUGAUGUCUUCCAGGUUAAAAGAAAGAGAAAGACCAUGCUUCCUCCCAAUAUCUAAAUGGAGGGCAGAUAAUAAGUAUGGAACAGCAAGGUUUAUCAUAAGGCAAGUUGAUGUCCUUGAGGUACAGAUCCCAGUGAAUGCAAUGGAAAGAACUUUCAAAGAUAAAUAGUAAUAAUAAAUAAAUAAAUGUAAUAAAGAACUAACUGUGCAGUGUUGAAGGGGAGAGCAUACUUCAAGAAAAAUUGGUGCAGGAAAAUCAAUACCUAUGUAUACCUUGGUUAAGUUAUCAAACUCCAAGGAUAAAAAAAAAUUCAAGCAUUUAAGAAGAAAAAUUCUUCUCAGCAUUAUUCAAUGUCACAACAUGAUGGGACAAUGUCUCUGAAGUCAUUUAAGAUGAAACACAACAGGCAAUUGUUCUCAGACAUGAAGGAGCUCAGGCAGUAGAGCACCUGUGAGCUCUUCAUUAAAAACUUAUCACAGCCGGGUGCAAUGGUGCACACCUGUAAUCCCAGUGGCUAUGUAGGUUGAGACAGGAGGAUCCAGAGUUCAAAGCCAUCCUCAGCAACAGUGAGGCACUAAGCAACGCAUUGAGACCCUGUCUCUAAAUAAAAUACAAAAUAGGGCUGGGGAUGUGACUCCAUGGUUGAGUGACCCUGAGUUCAAUCCCCGGUACUCCACCCCACACACACACACACACACACAAAAAAAAAAAAACGACUACAGUGUUGAAGAGAUAGCAUGAAUGAGGCUAUGGGUUCAACCCCUAGUGCUGCAAACAAACCAAAACAAAACAAAAGCUCUGCUAUGUAGCCC